UGUCGCCCGAGGAUGCUGGGAGGAACACUGAGCCGACCUCUCCGUUAGGCUGAAGAUUGCACAAACCAUGCUAAUGGCCAGCAUGGGUGGAGGGAGCGUGUGAGAUGUGUGGGGCGGCGUGCUGCAUCUCAGCCAACUCCAGGAGGAAGCAUGCUCAUGGCAAUACCCGGAGUCUCCACUGCAAGACCAGAGUGAUGGAGGCAGCAGAGCUCCUCAGCAGGCCAGGAGUCUCCAGAGGCACUGCCGAAUGUCUAAGAAGCAACCUCAUUGUAUUCCCAAGAGCUGGGAAUCCAGGUCUCGCAGAUACGAUGAUACAAUCUAUAGCCAGGACAUCUCUUCAUGUGUAGGAUAAGCAACUAUCCCAGUCUUCCCAGGAUUGAGGGACUUCUCCAGAUGCUGCACUUCCGGUGCUAAAAAUUAGAAACUGAAAUGAAUUAGUCACCCAAGGAAUGCUGACCCUGUGCUAUAUGAUCACAUUUACUCUUUAAAGCAAUGCUUUGAGACUCCACGUUUUUUUUCUGGAAAGAGCACCAUUUUGCC
This 540-nucleotide long non-coding RNA is filed under the name Pan troglodytes (chimpanzee). RNAcentral's name for it is "long non-coding RNA NONPTRT014440". The record is from RNAcentral. Lineage: Eukaryota; Metazoa; Chordata; Mammalia; Primates; Hominidae.